RNAcentral lists this ribosomal RNA (1255 nucleotides) under Listeria monocytogenes. RNAcentral describes it as "partial 23S ribosomal RNA". It matches the Rfam family "Bacterial large subunit ribosomal RNA", at positions 278 to 1528 of the family's 2925-position model. Lineage: Bacteria; Bacillati; Bacillota; Bacilli; Caryophanales; Listeriaceae. The record is from RNAcentral.
GAAGCUUGCUUCUUGGGGUUGUAGGACACUCUAUACGGAGUUACAAAAGAAAGUUAUAAAUGAAGCGGUCUGGAAAGGCCCGCCAAAGACGGUAACAGCCCGGUAGUUGAAAUGGCUUUCCCUCCAGAGUGGAUCCUGAGUACGGCGGAACACGUGAAAUUCCGUCGGAAUCCGGGAGGACCAUCUCCCAAGGCUAAAUACUCCCUAGUGACCGAUAGUGAACCAGUACCGUGAGGGAAAGGUGAAAAGCACCCCGGAAGGGGAGUGAAACAGUUCCUGAAACCGUGUGCCUACAAGUAGUUAGAGCCCGUUAAUGGGUGAUAGCGUGCCUUUUGUAGAAUGAACCGGCGAGUUACGAUUUGUUGCAAGGUUAAGCGGAAAAAGCGGAGCCGUAGCGAAAGCGAGUCUGAAUAGGGCGCAUAAGUAACAGGUCGUAGACCCGAAACCAGGUGAUCUACCCAUGUCCAGGAUGAAGGUAAGGUAAUACUUACUGGAGGUCCGAACCCACGCACGUUGAAAAGUGCGGGGAUGAGGUGUGGGUAGCGGAGAAAUUCCAAUCGAACUUGGAGAUAGCUGGUUCUCUCCGAAAUAGCUUUAGGGCUAGCCUCGAGGUAAAGAGUCAUGGAGGUAGAGCACUGUUUGGACUAGGGGCCCUUCUCGGGUUACCGAAUUCAGAUAAACUCCGAAUGCCAUGUACUUAUACUCGGGAGUCAGACUGCGAGUGAUAAGAUCCGUAGUCGAAAGGGAAACAGCCCAGACCACCAGUUAAGGUCCCCAAAUAUAUGUUAAGUGGAAAAGGAUGUGGGGUUGCUUAGACAACCAGGAUGUUGGCUUAGAAGCAGCCACCAUUGAAAGAGUGCGUAAUAGCUCACUGGUCGAGUGACCCCGCGCCGAAAAUGUACCGGGGCUAAACAUAUUACCGAAACUGUGGAUGAACCUCUUUAGAGGUUCGUGGUAGGAGAGCGUUCUAAGGGCGGUGAAGUCAGACCGGAAGGACUGGUGGAGCGCUUAGAAGUGAGAAUGCCGGUAUGAGUAGCGAAAGAAGGGUGAGAAUCCCUUCCACCGAAUAUCUAAGGUUUCCUGAGGAAGGCUCGUCCGCUCAGGGUUAGUCGGGACCUAAGCCGAGGCCGAUAGGCGUAGGCGAUGGACAACAGGUAGAGAUUCCUGUACCAGUGCUAAUUGUUUAACCGAUGGGGUGACACAGAAGGAUAGGGAAUCGCACGAAUGGAAAUGUGCGUCCAAGCAGUGAGUGUGA